AUUUAUUUGCGUUAGGGAUAGAAACGACAUCCUUUUUUGGUUUUCACAAAAAAGAUAUAGUGGAUAGCCCGUAAAAAC
Molecule: small RNA, 78 nt
Filed under: Pedobacter psychrophilus
Lineage: Bacteria; Pseudomonadati; Bacteroidota; Sphingobacteriia; Sphingobacteriales; Sphingobacteriaceae
Description: Pedobacter sp. CCM 8644 Flavo-1 RNA
Rfam family: Flavo-1 RNA
Source: Rfam by way of RNAcentral